RNAcentral lists this long non-coding RNA (240 nucleotides) under Elaeis guineensis (African oil palm). RNAcentral's name for it is "long non-coding RNA (EGUI_LNC044332)". Lineage: Eukaryota; Viridiplantae; Streptophyta; Magnoliopsida; Arecales; Arecaceae. The record is from RNAcentral.
GUUGUGGGCAUUCCAUGUGGGUGUGGGAAUGGGUGCAUUGUGGGUGCCAUAAGUGAUGGCAAUUCUAUCUCAUAUAGGAGUCUUUCUUUCAUAAGUAUUAGACUGAUUCAAAGUAUAUUUGAAUUAGGAGUCCUAUACUUAUUGGGUCAUAGAAAUCAUCUAUAAAUAAAGAGGGUCUCUACCUAUGGAUGUAUAGAAAUCAAAUAGUAAAUAAAUCAGAUUGAGAGAAGAGAGAAAGAG